AUUGAACGCUAGCGGGAUGCUUUACACAUGCAAGUCGAACGGCAGCGCGGACUUCGGUCUGGCGGCGAGUGGCGAACGGGUGAGUAAUGUAUCGGAACGUGCCCAGUAGCGGGGGAUAACUACGCGAAAGCGUAGCUAAUACCGCAUACGCCCUACGGGUGAAAGCAGGGGAUCGUAAGACAUUGCACUAUUGGAUCGGCCGAUAUCGGAUUAGCUAGUUGGUGAGGUAACGGCUCACCAAGGCGACGAUCCGUAGCUGGUUUGAGAGGACGACCAGCCACACUGGGACUGAGACACGGCCCAGACUCCUACGGGAGGCAGCAGUGGGGAAUUUUGGACAAUGGGGGCAACCCUGAUCCAGCCAUCCCGCGUGUGCGAUGAAGGCCUUCGGGUUGUAAAGCACUUUUGGCAGGAAAGAAACGUCGCGGGCUAAUACCCCGUGGAACUGACGGUACCUGCAGAAUAAGCACCGGCGAACUACGU
This 483-nucleotide ribosomal RNA is filed under the name uncultured bacterium. Its description in RNAcentral is "partial 16S ribosomal RNA". It matches the Rfam family "Bacterial small subunit ribosomal RNA", at positions 30 to 506 of the family's 1533-position model. The record is from RNAcentral.